GAUGAACGCUGGCGGCGUGCCUAAUACAUGCAAGUCGAGCGAACAGGAUAGGUGCUUGCUCCUCUUUCGAUAGCGGCGAACGGGUGAGUAACACGUGGAUAACCUACCUAUAAGCGUGGGAUAACAUCGGGAAACGGAAGCUAAUACCGGAUAAUAACUUGAACCAUAAGGUUUAAUAGUGAAAGACGCUUUUGCUUUCCUCAAAGAUGGUCCCGCGUUGAAUUAGGUAGUUGGUAAGGUAAAGGCUCACCAAGGCAAUCAUACGUAGCCGACCUGAGAGGGGGAUCGGCCACACUGGAACUGAGACACGGUCCAGACUCCUACGGGAGGCAGCAGUAGGGAAUCUUCCGCAAUGGGCGAAGGCCUGACGGAGCAACGCCGCGUGAGUGAGGAAGGUCUUCGGAUCGUAAAACUCUGUUAUUAGGGAAGACCAAAUGUGUAAGUAAAUAUGCACGUCUUGACGGUACCUAAUCAGAAAGCCACGGCUAACUACGUG
This 496-nucleotide ribosomal RNA is filed under the name uncultured bacterium. RNAcentral's name for it is "partial 16S ribosomal RNA". It matches the Rfam family "Bacterial small subunit ribosomal RNA", at positions 28 to 507 of the family's 1533-position model. The record is from RNAcentral.